CCCUUAGAUGUUCUGGGCCGCACGCGCGCUACACUGACGAAGUCAGCGAGCAUGUCCUACGCCGACAGGUGCGGGGAAUCUUGUCAAACUUCGUCGUGAUGGGGAUUGAUUAUUGAAAUUCUUGAUCAUCAACGAGGAAUUCCUAGUAAGCGCAAGACAGCAGCUUGCGUUGAUUACGUCCCUGCCCUUUGUACACACCGCCCGUCGCUACUACCGAUUGAAUGGUUUAGUGAGAUCUUCGGAUUGGCGCCACUGCGGCUCAGCAAUGGGCUCGGUGGAUGCCGAAAAGUUGAUCAAACUUGAUCAUUUAGAGGAAGUAAAAGUCGUAACA
This 331-nucleotide ribosomal RNA is filed under the name uncultured eukaryote. RNAcentral's name for it is "partial 18S ribosomal RNA". It matches the Rfam family "Eukaryotic small subunit ribosomal RNA", at positions 1470 to 1796 of the family's 1831-position model. The record is from RNAcentral.